CGGGGGAGAGGCGAGGCGGCGCCCCUUGCAUUCUGUCCCCUCCCGACCAGGUCCGCCGGGCUCUGGGCAGCGCUGAGGGACCCCGCUGGUGACGGCUGGGAGGGGCUGAGGGCCUCCCGUCGGCGGCCCUGCUCAGGGCGCUCUGGCCGUGCAGCUGCGGGGGGAGGUGGGUCUGGUCCCUCCCCUGCGUGGGGCAGCCGCGUCCACGGGACGGCGGGCUCCUGGCUGCGCGCCGAGAGCACACUCUGGCCCGUUUUCCAGCGGGGCAGCUCCGCAGGGCCCCUACUCUCCGUUUGCAGCAGGGCCACGUCUGCAUUCAGGGUCCCAGGAGGACAGAAGUGACCCGGCUCCCCGCCCCUGGGUGCGCCCAGGCAGACCCCCGGGGUCCAUGCACACCGCGCUUUCUUCCUCAACCCAGCCAACCACGGGACCUGCCCACGCUGCCCUGGAAAGAGCUCUCGAAUCUCCUGAGAGGCAGGGUCGCGCUCCUGGCUCGCUCUCCAGCUCGACUGGCUUCCAGCCAGAGCAGAUGUGGAGUCGCCCUGAAUUGGCCGCCAUGAAUGAGGAGCAGGGACGGCCAUUGCCAGAGUCACAGCAUCACAGAGCAAACGACAGAGGCAUCUACCUCGGUGGAGGGCCAAUGGCUGUGCCAAACACAUUUCAUGCUCUGGUUUCUGGGUGCGUUGAGGCCUCGACACACUGUACCCCAACAUCAACGCCGCUGCAUCCCUGGGCAUUUCGCCCUGAAGGCUGAGUGUUCAACCCUGUGACGUGGUGCCUGCUCUGAGGACGAGCCCGGAGGACAUGCCGCUGGGACCGCAGCCUUUCGGAAGGGGCUUCAGCUAUGGGGAUGGUAUUAGUGUCCUGGGGCUGCCGUAACAAACCACCCCAAAUUUGGAACCUGAAAACAACAGGAAUGUCCUCUCUCACUGUUCAGGAGGCCAGAAUUCAGAAACCAAGGUUUCAUCAGGGCUGGUUCCUCCUAAAGGCCCAGAGGGAGAAUCUAUUCCCUGCCUCUCCCAGCUUCUGGGGUUCCCAGCAAUUCUCAACCUUCCGUGGCUUCUAGAUGCACCACUCGGAUCUCUGCCUGCAUCUUUCUGCCCCAUGUUUCUGCUUCUCUUCUCUCCUAAGGACUGUGUGUAUUUCAGGCCCACUCUAAUCCAGCACCAUCUCAUCUUGGGAUCCUGAACAGAAUGCAAUUUACCUUUUUCCACAUAAGGUCACAUGCACAGGUUUUGGGGGGACAAAGCUUUCCCCGGGCCCCCUUACUGGGUGAAUGGCAUUCAGUCCACCAUUCUCUGUCUUUCCCCCCAACCCCACAACUCCCAGAUCCUGGGAUGAGUUAUCCCACUCCUGGAACUGUAUCUUCAGGAACCGAUUCAAUAGCAUGAAAAAAACCAUUCUCUCUUUGUUGUUCUUUGUUAAUAACAUUGGAAAGUUGGAAACAGCCCCCAGGAGAGGCAGUAAUUACUUAAUGACUUCAAUAACAUUCAUGCAAACUUACUGCAGACUCAGUGGGCCCGGAGGGAGCAGGCAAGCAGGGAGCCCAGCUGCCGCCUCCAGCGUGGGGCUGCUGGCGCAGUGACCUGAGGAUCGCAGCUCGCCGCCCAGGAGUGGGCAUGGAGGGAAGCCUCGCCUCAGUGAGUGUGUGCCUCUGAAAAGGAGUCACGACAGCUACUCCGGCCUGUGAACCAGGCAGAGACAGUCCAGCUAUGGGAGGGGGCGGCCUGCACGAAUGCAGCAGGGCCACCUCGCUGGGACCCACAAUGGGCCCAGAUGACAAACACAGCGACCCAAAAGGGCAUGGGACUAGGUAGGAAAUAUAGUAUAAAAAUUGAUUCAGAAGGGGGCCUUGUAAAGGAGAAUUGGCAUAUGAUCCAGCAAUCCUACUUCUGGGCAUAUACCCAUACACCCCAGAAAAAACAGGGACUCAAAGAGAUGUGUGCACAUCCAUGCUCACAGCAGCAUGAGUCAUAAUAGUCAAAAGGCAGAAACAACCAAAAUGUCCAUCAGCGGAUAAAUGGAUAAGCCAAAACAUGGCAUAUGUGUGCAAUGGAAUAUUACUCAGCCUUAAAAAAGGAAGGACAUUCUGACACAUGUUAAAACAUCCUGCUAAAUGAAAUAAGCUCGUCACAAAUGGGCAGAUCCUGUGAGUCCACUUACUUGAGCUCCCUAGAGCAUGGGGUUCCUAGAGACUGAAGGUAGUGGUGGUCACCAAGGGCUGGGGGAGGGGAAAUGGGGGUUUGCAUUUAACGGGGGCACAGUUUCCAUUUGGGAAGGUGAAGAAGUUCUGGACAUGGAUGGUGGUGAUGGUUGUACAACAAUGUGAAUGGACUCGAUGCCAUAGAACUGUACACUUUAAAAUGGUUACAAUGGCACAUUUUAUGUUAUGUGUUUUAAACCAUGAUUUUGUUUUAAAAAAAGGUACCUAGUAAAGAAUUGUAGCUGAUUGGUAGAGGGGAGUGCAAAUCCCAGCCACACCUCUCUGUGAGUUCCUUGGUCCAUUCUGGAACUCUGUUUCCCUGGUCCAGGCACCCAGGGUGGUGAGCGAGGCAGGCAAGGUUGGUGUCCUCCUAGACGGCAGGCAAGAGCGGCAGGCAGGCCUUAGCCGUCAGCAAAUACCUAUCAGGUAUUAGCUCUGGGACUUUGGACAAGCCACUUCUCCUUUCCAAGUGUGUUUCCUUCUCUGUAAGGAUGAGAACAAUGAUCUGACCUAGUAAUGAUGCCAGAGGGUCAGUGCGUCCUCUGAGUCCCUGAGGCAUGAGUACUCAGCUUCAAAGGCACUGCACAUGGGUCACUUCCACAGUUCCAAGUCAGAAACAUGCGUCCAAGCUCACGCCAACAUGAUUCGGGUUGCACAGGGAUGGAGUUGGGCUGUACUAUAUAUAUAUAUAUAUAUAUAUAAUAUUUCUUUGUCAUGCAAAAUCUUUUUAUAUGCAUAGAAGGUCUAGAUGAUGUUCACCAAGGUGUGAAGAAUGGGUGAAGAAUGGGUGAUGUCAGGUAGGAAUAUUUUUAAAAUCUUUACUAAGAGAUUUGCUGGCUGGAUGAUCUUGGGCAAAUAACCUGACAUCUCUGAACCUCAGGUCAGUUGCCUUGGCUACAAAUUAAUAGUACUCACCUAUAGAGUGUUGCUGUUUUUUUAAUUCUCUAUUACAGGAAUGUUCAAACCUUCCCAGAAGAAGGAAUAAUCUCACAAACCUCUAUUACCCAGCUUUGCCCAUUAACAGUGAAUCAGCCAUCUUGACCAUCUCUACCUCCCCACCCCAACAACUGAUGGUUAUUAUCAAGAAAAUCCCAGAGAAUCUUCUUUUUAAAAAAACCACCAGAAUAUCAUUAUCGCACCCAAACUUUUAAGAACACAAUUUCUUAAUAUCCUCCGAUACCUAAUCAGUGUUUAACUAUCCCCGAUUGCCCCAUAAGUGCCUUUUCCAUUAGCUCUGCUUAAAUCAGGGUCUGCAAGAGCCACGCAUUACAUUUGGCUGCUAGAUCCUUUUGCCCAGUGUUUUUUCAGAGUAAUUUUCAAACACGUAGAGGAGGUGGAAGAAUUUCACAGUGUGUCCCCAGGUUCAACCAGUAACAUGAUAUUGUGGCUUUGUCCCAUGUCUGUCCAGCUACCUGUCUUUCUACAAUUGAUGACACUUUCAAGUCUCUCUCCAUCUAAACGCCUUCCCUUCUCUCCUGUUUUCUCCUCGACUUUUAUUUGUUGAAGUAAUCAUGUAAUUUGUCCUGUAGAACUUCUCACUGAAGGAUUAAUGAGCUAAUAUGUGCAUUAUAAUUAGGAUAUAGUGGGGAAUGAAUCAAUAUUCAUUCUUAUUUGCUUUUUUAAUUUAUCUGUAUUUUAUUUUUCC
Long non-coding RNA from Manis javanica (Malayan pangolin), 3848 nucleotides. RefSeq lists it as uncharacterized. The record is from RefSeq and is a predicted model, not a curated record. NCBI's taxonomy places the organism in Eukaryota, Metazoa, Chordata, Mammalia, Pholidota, Manidae.